CCCUUACGGCCAGGGCUACACACGUGCUACAAUGGCGGUGACAACGGGAUGCGAAGGCGCGAGCCGGAGCCAAUCCCCAAAAACCGUCUCAGUUCGGAUCGUACUCUGCAACUCGAGUGCGUGAAGGUGGAAUCGCUAGUAAUCGCGCAUCAGCCAUGGCGCGGUGAAUACGUUCCCGGACCUUGUACACACCGCCCGUCAAGCCAUGGAAGCCGAGGGUGCCUGAAGAUGGUGACUUCACAGGGAGCUAUCUAGGGUAAAACUGGUAACUAGGGCUAAGUCGUAACAAGGUAGCCGUACCGGAAGGUGCGGCUGGAAUACCUCCUU
RNAcentral lists this ribosomal RNA (327 nucleotides) under uncultured Pelagophyceae. RNAcentral describes it as "partial Bacterial small subunit ribosomal RNA". It matches the Rfam family "Bacterial small subunit ribosomal RNA", at positions 1199 to 1532 of the family's 1533-position model. Lineage: Eukaryota; Pelagophyceae. The record is from RNAcentral.